RNAcentral lists this long non-coding RNA (537 nucleotides) under Cricetulus griseus (Chinese hamster). RNAcentral's name for it is "lncRNA (ENSCGRG00015037963.1)". Lineage: Eukaryota; Metazoa; Chordata; Mammalia; Rodentia; Cricetidae. The record is from RNAcentral.
CCCUUGGCUACCCUAACAGUCAAGAACAAAGUUCCCACAACAAAGGCGGCUGUGAGGAGGGAGCUUCUCCACCUAUUUGCAUAGAGAGGGAACAGGUGCCUCUCAGCCGAGAAACCACUGAAGGAAAUUCUGACUUCCGGCAAUCUUCUGAUUGGAGGGGUUGGACAAGAUGUUGGGGAGAACCCCAGUUAAGGCUUUGCCUCAAACUAACAGUGAUCAACUGAAUAAUUUUCUGCGAGACCCUCAGCAUCUCUGCAAGAAGAUUCUAGAGCCCAUGCCUACGGUCUUGAAUAGGGACAGUUUCAAUGACAAAUGCUGCCACCUGCAGGUGGAAGGUGAAACUGGACUGUUCAGAACCGCAAUGUUUGGAAACCUCCAGCCAAGUUUGGUCAACUUCAAGGCGAUGUUACACUUUCUUUAGUUUGAAGUGUACUCUAUCAGCAUGCACCUGUGAUUUCCGAGUCUGUGUUGCUGGAGAGAUGGCUCAGCGGAUAAGAGCUCUGACUGUUCUUCCAGAGGUCCUGAGUUCAAUUCCUG